RNAcentral lists this ribosomal RNA (279 nucleotides) under uncultured bacterium. RNAcentral describes it as "partial 16S ribosomal RNA". It matches the Rfam family "Bacterial small subunit ribosomal RNA", at positions 506 to 784 of the family's 1533-position model. The record is from RNAcentral.
UGCCAGCAGCCGCGGUAAUACGAAGGGAGCUAGUGUUAUUGGGAAUGACUGGGCGUAAAGGGUACGUAGGCUGUUUAUUAAGUUUUAAGUGAAAUCCCAGAGCUUAACUUUGGAAUGGCUUAAAAAACUGAUAAACUAGAGUUUAAUAGAGGAUAGUGGAAUUUCUAGUGUAGAGAUGAAAUUCGUAAAUAUUAGAAGGAACACCGGAGGCGAAGGCGACUAUCUGGAUUAAAACUGACGCUGAGGUACUAAAGCAUGGGGAGCAAAAAGGAUUAGAUA